This 253-nucleotide ribosomal RNA is filed under the name uncultured bacterium. RNAcentral describes it as "partial 16S ribosomal RNA". It matches the Rfam family "Bacterial small subunit ribosomal RNA", at positions 524 to 776 of the family's 1533-position model. The record is from RNAcentral.
UACGGGGGGGGCAAGCGUUGUUCGGAAUUACUGGGCGUAAAGGGCUCGUAGGUGGCCAACUAAGUCAUACGUGAAAUCCCUCGGCUUAACCGGGGAACUGCGUCUGAUACUGGAUGGCUUGAAUUCGGGAGAGGGAUGCGGAAUUCCAGGUGUAGCGGUGAAAUGCGUAGAUAUCUGGAGGAACACCGGUGGCGAAGGCGGCAUCCUGGACCGAGAUUGACGCUGAUGCGCGAAAGCCAGGGGAGCAAACGGG